Molecule: ribosomal RNA, 478 nt
Filed under: uncultured bacterium
Lineage: Bacteria
Description: partial 16S ribosomal RNA
Rfam family: Bacterial small subunit ribosomal RNA
Source: RNAcentral
GACGAACGCUGGCGGCGUGCUUAACACAUGCAAGUCGAACGGUAAGGCCCUUCGGGGUACACGAGUGGCGAACGGGUGAGUAACACGUGGGUGAUCUGCCCUGCACUUCGGGAUAAGCCUGGGAAACUGGGUCUAAUACCGGAUAGGACCACUGCCUGCAUGGGUGGUGGUGGAAAGCUUUUGCGGUGUGGGAUGGGCCCGCGGCCUAUCAGCUUGUUGGUGGGGUGAUGGCCUACCAAGGCGACGACGGGUAGCCGGCCUGAGAGGGUGACCGACCACACUGGGACUGAGAUACGGCCCAGGCUCCGACGGGAGGCAGCAGUGGGGAAUAUUGCACAAUGGGCGCAAGCCUGAUGCAGCGACGCCGCGUGAGGAAUGACGGCCUUCGGGUUGUAAACCUCUUUCAGCACCGACGAAGCGCAAGUGACGGUAGGUGCAGAAGAAGGACCGGCCAACUACGUGCCAGCCGCCGCAGUAA